This 427-nucleotide ribosomal RNA is filed under the name uncultured Lysobacteraceae bacterium. RNAcentral describes it as "bacterial SSU rRNA". It matches the Rfam family "Bacterial small subunit ribosomal RNA", at positions 356 to 774 of the family's 1533-position model. The record is from RNAcentral. Lineage: Bacteria; Pseudomonadati; Pseudomonadota; Gammaproteobacteria; Lysobacterales; Lysobacteraceae.
GGGGAAUAUUGGACAAUGGGCGCAAGCCUGAUCCAGCCAUGCCGCGUGGGUGAAGAAGGCCUUCGGGUUGUAAAGCCCUUUUGUUGGGAAAGAAAAGCAGCCGGCCAAUACCCGGUUGUUCUGACGGUACCCAAAGAAUAAGCACCGGCUAACUUCGUGCCAGCAGCCGCGGUAAUACGAAGGGUGCAAGCGUUACUCGGAAUUACUGGGCGUAAAGCGUGCGUAGGUGGUGGUUUAAGUCCGUUGUGAAAGCCCUGGGCUCAACCUGGGAAGCGGAAGGGGAUAGGGGAUCACUGGAGGGGGGCAGAGGGGGGGGAAAUUCCGGGGGGAGGAGGAAAAGGCGUAGAGAGCGGGAGAAACAUAAGUGGAGAAGGGGACUGCCUGGGCAAACACUGACACUGAGGCACGAAGGCGUGGGGAGAAAACA